ACCUGUCAGUUCGUAAAAUGGUCUAUAGAGCAUUUUACGCGACAGGAUCAGCUAUUUUUAAUACGAACGUACGGAAGUAAUUUGUUUGUAAAUUAUUUAAAGUUUUCGUGACUUCCCGUGGCCUUUAAAAUAAAAAUGUCGAAAGUGAGAAUCUGGUGCAUUAUACAUAAAUGCCUAUCAAUAUUCCGGGUGAAACGAAUCGCAGAAGUUUUUUUUUCGAGUUCCGAAUCCUACGCGUCUGAAUGUAACAUUUCUGCAGAAUAUUGCAAAGAUCCAAUUGGCUAAAUGAAAAAAAAAUAAUUUCUAUGUCCCGUGAAAAUUGUAGAAAACCAGCAGCUUUGACAAAUACGACUGAUAUCGAUUGGGUUCCUACACUUAAGUUGCAGACAGCUCAACCAUGUUCUACUUUAUCGUCCAAGAACCGUAGGAAAUUGAAGUAAACACCUUUGAAAUUGCCGCCUGAUGGUUCUGCUGAUGAAAAUAUUGCUGAACAUUGUGGAUCAACUCGCGAGAAAACUAAUAAGAGAACACACUCCAAAGAAAACAUUCCGCUUUUACUCAACGUUCAAGAAGACUAUACUUUUAUAUUCAUGUGUUGAUUUUGCUUUGGGAACAUGCAUAAAUGACGUACCUUUUUUAAGGUUUUUUUA
Molecule: long non-coding RNA, 650 nt
Organism: Wyeomyia smithii (pitcher-plant mosquito)
Lineage: Eukaryota; Metazoa; Arthropoda; Insecta; Diptera; Culicidae
Exons: 2
Source: RefSeq, a predicted model, not a curated record